UACAGAGGGGGCAAGCGUUAUUCGGAAUUAUUGGGCGUAAAGGGCGCGUAGGCGGCUUGGCAAGUGGAUGGUGAAAUCCCUCGGCUUAACCGAGGAACUGCCAUCCAGACUGCUUUGCUUGAGGCCGGGAGAGGUGAGUGGAAUUCCCAGUGUAGCGGUGAAAUGCGUAGAUAUUGGGAGGAACACCAGUGGCGAAGGCGGCUCACUGGACCGGUUCUGACGCUGAGGCGCGAAAAGCGUGGGGAGCAAACGGG
RNAcentral lists this ribosomal RNA (254 nucleotides) under uncultured bacterium. Its description in RNAcentral is "partial 16S ribosomal RNA". It matches the Rfam family "Bacterial small subunit ribosomal RNA", at positions 524 to 776 of the family's 1533-position model. The record is from RNAcentral.